UUCCGCCCUCACGGACCUCCACCCCAUCCACCGAGACCUGCUGGGGCUGCUGGCUCGCUUUGAGGGCAUUGAAACAGCUGCCGUGGGUCUCAACGAUAGAGUCGGCACCCAAGACAGGCCAAAUGACAACCCCAAGCAAGAAUUGACCGAGAGCGAGAGUGAGAGUGAACUCGAGAGUGACAACGAAGGUGAGAGACCGAAGCGCCAGCCCGCCCCAGGCAAGAGAAAGCCCCGCCAACCCACUACCAUGAGGAAAAGACCCAAGCUCUCUGCCCUGAAACAAACCUUCAUGCCCUCGACACAGACACACCCUAGGGCAUCUGAGGUCAGCAUGGGGGAUGUUUUUGAGGCCACACACACACAGGGGUCAAAGAGGCUGGAGGUCAGGUUGAAAAAUGUCUCUCUACCAACUGUGGAAGAUUCGUCAAGGCUGGAGGCGCCAAUGGAAAGUGGCAGUUUUGGGAAGAUUGAGCGCCAUCCACUGCCAGUUUGGGUCUGGAAAGCUUGGCGGAGUGGCCCAGAGAGGCGGACAACUACAUGAGGAGGGAGGACAUCCUAGCCAACAGGGUGGACAAGUCAGAAUGGCCCAUCCUUCCUGUCUUCAAGAACUACAGUCCAGGAGAACCCUCAGCCAAGCUCUACAUCAAGAACCUGGCCAAGGCAACGAGUGAGAGGGACCUGAAACACAUAUUUGGC
Long non-coding RNA from Eriocheir sinensis (Chinese mitten crab), 696 nucleotides. RefSeq lists it as uncharacterized. The transcript has 3 exons. The record is from RefSeq and is a predicted model, not a curated record. NCBI's taxonomy places the organism in Eukaryota, Metazoa, Arthropoda, Malacostraca, Decapoda, Varunidae.